Molecule: ribosomal RNA, 466 nt
Filed under: uncultured bacterium
Lineage: Bacteria
Description: partial 16S ribosomal RNA
Rfam family: Bacterial small subunit ribosomal RNA
Source: RNAcentral
GAUGAACGCUGGCGGCGUGCUUAACACAUGCAAGUCGAACGGAAAGGCUCCUGCUUGCAGGGGUACUCGAGUGGCGAACGGGUGAGUAACACGUGGGUGAUCUGCCCUGCACUUCGGGAUAAGCCUUGGAAACUGGGUCUAAUACCGGAUAGGACGAUGGUUUGGAUGCCAUUGUGGAAAGUUUUUUCGGUGUGGGAUGAGCUCGCGGCCUAUCAGCUUGUUGGUGGGGUAAUGGCCUACCAAGGCGUCGACGGGUAGCCGGCCUGAGAGGGUGUACGGCCACAUUGGGACUGAGAUACGGCCCAGACUCCUACGGGAGGCAGCAGUGGGGAAUAUUGCACAAUGGGCGCAAGCCUGAUGCAGCGACGCCGCGUGGGGGAUGACGGCCUUCGGGUUGUAAACUCCUUUCGCUAGGGACGAAGCGCAAGUGACGGUACCUGGAGAAGAAGCACCGGCUAACUACGUG